RNAcentral lists this ribosomal RNA (453 nucleotides) under uncultured Porphyromonadaceae bacterium. RNAcentral's name for it is "partial 16S ribosomal RNA". It matches the Rfam family "Bacterial small subunit ribosomal RNA", at positions 341 to 792 of the family's 1533-position model. Lineage: Bacteria; Pseudomonadati; Bacteroidota; Bacteroidia; Bacteroidales; Porphyromonadaceae. The record is from RNAcentral.
ACGGAAGGCAGCAGUGAGGAAUAUUGGUCAAUGGACGCAGGUCUGAACCAGCCAAGUCGCGUGAGGGAUGGCGGUCCUAUGGAUUGUAAACCUCUUUUGUCGGGGAGUAACGUGCGGGACGUGUCCCGUAUUGAGAGUACCCGAAGCAAAAGCAUCGGCUAACUCCGUGCCAGCAGCCGCGGUAAUACGGAGGAUGCGAGCGUUAUCCGGAUUUAUUGGGUUUAAAGGGAGCGCAGGCGGCGCGUCAAGUCAGCGGUAAACUGUCGGGGCUCAACCCCGGCCGGCCGUUGAAACUGCCGUGCUCGAGUUCGUGCGAGGAGAGCGGAAUGCGUGGUGUAGCGGUGAAAUGCAUAGAUAUCACGCAGAACGCCGAUUGCGAAGGCAGCCCUCCAGCACUGGACUGACGCUGAGGCUCGAAAGCGUGGGUAUCGAACAGGAUUAGAUACCCUGGUA